GAACUUUCCAGAGAUGGAUUGGUGCCUUCGGGAACUGUGAGACAGGUGCUGCAUGGCUGUCGUCAGCUCGUGUUGUGAAAUGUUGGGUUAAGUCCCGCAACGAGCGCAACCCUUAUCCUUUGUUGCCAGCGAUUAGGUCGGGAACUCAAAGGAGACUGCCAGUGAUAAACUGGAGGAAGGUGGGGAUGACGUCAAGUCAUCAUGGCCCUUACGACCAGGGCUACACACGUGCUACAAUGGCGCAUACAAAGAGAAGCGACCUCGCGAGAGCAAGCGGACCUCAUAAAGUGCGUCGUAGUCCGGAUUGGAGUCUGCAACUCGACUCCAUGAAGUCGGAAUCGCUAGUAAUCGUGGAUCAGAAUGCCACGGUGAAUACGUUCCCGGGCCUUGUACACACCGCCCGUCACACCAUGGGAGUGGGUUGCAAAAGAAGUAGGUAGCUUAACCUUCGGGAGGGCGCUUACCACUUUGUGAUUCAUGACUGGGGUGAAGUCGU
Molecule: ribosomal RNA, 496 nt
Filed under: Salmonella enterica subsp. enterica
Lineage: Bacteria; Pseudomonadati; Pseudomonadota; Gammaproteobacteria; Enterobacterales; Enterobacteriaceae
Description: bacterial SSU rRNA
Rfam family: Bacterial small subunit ribosomal RNA
Source: RNAcentral